AGAACUGUGCGUGGACGUCAGU
Molecule: microRNA, 22 nt
Filed under: Eisenia fetida (common brandling worm)
Lineage: Eukaryota; Metazoa; Annelida; Clitellata; Crassiclitellata; Lumbricidae
Description: Efe-Mir-219-P9_3p (mature (co-guide))
Source: RNAcentral